This 238-nucleotide ribosomal RNA is filed under the name uncultured bacterium. RNAcentral's name for it is "partial 16S ribosomal RNA". It matches the Rfam family "Bacterial small subunit ribosomal RNA", at positions 328 to 539 of the family's 1533-position model. The record is from RNAcentral.
ACGCUCGACACCUACAGGAGGCAGCAGUAGGGAAUCUUCCACAAUGGGCGCAAGCCUGAUGGAGCAACACCGCGUGAGUGAAGAAGGGUUUCGGCUCGUAAAGCUCUGUUGUUGGAGAAGAACGUGCGUGAGAGUAACUGUUCACGCAGUGACGGUAUCCAACCAGAAAGUCACGGCUAACUACGUGCCAGCAGCNCGGUACGUACUCGUAGGACGGGCCGGUCGGUCGAACGGACGC